AUAUCUCUCCGUACGGGAAGGAUGAGAAGCUUCGACUAAGGUUCGAUUCGAGCGAAAGCGAGAAAGCGUUGCCGCAGGCAACGGCCCGAAGGGCGAAGCGCGCAGCGCUGAGUCAUCCUUCCCCCACCACCA
RNAcentral lists this small RNA (132 nucleotides) under Salmonella enterica. RNAcentral describes it as "RtT sRNA". It matches the Rfam family "RtT RNA". From Rfam's summary of the family: This family represents a bacterial cis-regulatory element known as RtT RNA. The record is from RNAcentral. Lineage: Bacteria; Pseudomonadati; Pseudomonadota; Gammaproteobacteria; Enterobacterales; Enterobacteriaceae. RNAcentral also lists the same sequence under 5 other names.